UUUCAAGUCUUUAAGAGCAAACGGUGGAUGCCUUGGCAUCUGGAGCCGAAGAAGGACGUAGCAAUCUGCGAUAAGCCUCGGGGAGUGGAUAAGCACACUUUGAUCCGAGGGUCUCCGAAUGGGGAAACCCCGCUGGGCGGCGUGCCGACCCAGUGACUCCCGCCUGAAUAUAUAGGGCGGGUAGAGGGAACGUGGGGAAGUGAAACAUCUCAGUACCCACAGGAAGAGAAAGCAACCGCGAUUCCGUUAGUAGUGGCGAGCGAAACCGGAACAGGCUAAACCGAGUACGUGUGAUAUCCGGCAGGAGUUGCGUAUUCGGGGUUGUGGGACUUUUCAGGCUGUUCUGCCGAGCAGCCGGCGUUACAAGAAGGUAUAGACGAACCGCAUUGAAAGGCGGGUCAUAGAGGGUGCCAACCCCGUAGUCGAAAUGCCUCCCUUGACGCGAAGAGUAUCCCAAGUAGCACGGGGCCCGAGAAAUCCCGUGUGAAUCUGUCAGGACCACCUGAUAAGCCUAAAUACUCCCAGAUGACCGAUAGCGGACAAGUACCGUGAGGGAAAGGUGAAAAGUACCCCGGGAGGGGAGUGAAAUAGUACCUGAAACCGUUUGCUUACAAACCGUUGGAGCAGCCCUAGCAGCUGUGACAGCGUGCCUUUUGAAGAAUGAGCCUGCGAGUUAGCGAUACGUGGCGAGGUUAACCCGAGAGGGGUAGCCGUAGCGAAAGCGAGUCUGAAUAGGGCGAUUCAGUCGCGUGUCCUAGACCCGAAGCGAAGUGAUCUAUCCAUGGCCAGGUUGAAGCGACGGUAAGACGUCGUGGAGGACCGAACCCACUUAGGUUGAAAACUGAGGGGAUGAGCUGUGGAUAGGGGUGAAAGGCCAAUCAAACUUCGUGAUAGCUGGUUCUCUCCGAAAUGCAUUUAGGUGCAGCGUUGCGUGUUUCUUGCCGGAGGUAGAGCUACUGGAUGGCCGAUGGGCCCCAAAAGGUUACUGACGUCAGCCAAACUCCGAAUGCCGGUAAGUGAGAGCGCAGCAGUGAGACUGUGGGGGAUAAGCUUCAUAGUCGAGAGGGAAACAACCCAGACCACCAACUAAGGUCCCAAAGCGCGUGCUAAGUGGAAAAGGAUGUGGAGUUGCUGUGACAACCAGGAGGUUGGCUUAGAAGCAGCCACCCUUGAAAGAGUGCGUAAUAGCUCACUGGUCAAGUGAUUCCGCGCCGACAAUGUAACGGGGCUCAAGCACGCCACCGAAGUUGUGGCAUUGACAUUAUUGGUAGGCCUUCGUGGUCCAGCCGUGUUGAUGGGUAGGAGAGCGUCGUGUGGCGAGUGAAGCGGCGGUGUGAACCAGCCGUGGACGCUACACGAGUGAGAAUGCAGGCAUGAGUAGCGAAAGACGUGUGAGAAACACGUCCUCCGAAAGACCAAGGGUUCCAGGGUCAAGCUAAUCUUCCCUGGGUAAGUCGGGACCUAAGGCGAGGCCGACAGGCGUAGUCGAUGGACAACGGGUUGAUAUUCCCGUACCGGCGAAGAACCGCCCAAGCUAAUCCAGUGGUGCUAAGAGUCCUAACUCGGAAUGUACGGAUCCCUUCGGGGUGAAGACGUCCGAGCGAACGCUCGACCCCAUGCUGGUGCGGCUAGCGUAUUAACAGGUGUGACGCAGGAAGGUAGCCCAACCCGGGCGAUGGUUGUCCCGGGGCAAGUGCGUAGGCCGAGAGAUAGGCAAAUCCGUCUCUCACAUAGGCUGAGACACGAUGCGGAUAAAAAGUGGGUGAUCCUAUGCUGCCAAGAAAAGCAUCGACGCGAGGUUCUAGCCGCCCGUACCCCAAACCGACUCAGGUGGUCAGGUAGAGAAUACCAAGGAGAUCGAGAGAAUCGUGGUUAAGGAACUCGGCAAAAUGCCCCCGUAACUUCGGGAGAAGGGGGGCCUUCGACGUAUUAGGACUUGCUCCGAAAGCGUUUGGAGGCCGCAGAGACUAGUGGGUAGCGACUGUUUACUAAAAACACAGGUCCGUGCCAAGUCGCAAGACGAUGUAUACGGACUGACGCCUGCCCGGUGCUGGAAGGUUAAGAGGACCGGUUAGCCGCAAGGCGAAGCUGAGAAUUUAAGCCCCAGUAAACGGCGGUGGUAACUAUAACCAUCCUAAGGUAGCGAAAUUCCUUGUCGGGUAAGUUCCGACCUGCACGAAUGGCGUAACGACUUCCCAACUGUCUCAACCGCGAACUCGGCGAAAUUGCAUUACGAGUAAAGAUGCUCGUUACGCGCAGCAGGACGGAAAGACCCCGUGACCUUUACUACAGCUUGGUAUUGGUGUUCGGUGUGGCUUGUGUAGGAUAGGUGGGAGACUUUGAAGCAUGGACGCCAGUUCAUGUGGAGUCAUUGUUGAAAUACCACUCUGGUCACUCUGGAUAUCUAACUUCGAACCGUAAUCCGGUUCAGGGACAGUGCCUGGUGGGUAGUUUAACUGGGGCGGUUGCCUCCCAAAAAGUAACGGAGGCGCCCAAAGGUUCCCUCAACCUGGUUGGCAAUCAGGUGGCGAGUGUAAGUGCACAAGGGAGCUUGACUGUGAGACUGACAGGUCGAGCAGGGACGAAAGUCGGGACUAGUGAUCCGGCAGUGGCUUGUGGAAGCGCUGUCGCUCAACGGAUAAAAGGUACCUCGGGGAUAACAGGCUGAUCUUGCCCAAGAGUCCAUAUCGACGGCAUGGUUUGGCACCUCGAUGUCGGCUCGUCGCAUCCUGGGGCUGGAGUAGGUCCCAAGGGUUGGGCUGUUCGCCCAUUAAAGCGGUACGCGAGCUGGGUUUAGAACGUCGUGAGACAGUUCGGUCCCUAUCCGCUGCGCGCGUAGGAAGUUUGAGAGGAUCUGACCCUAGUACGAGAGGACCGGGUUGGACGAACCUCUGGUGUGUCAGUUGUUCCGCCAGGAGCACCGCUGAUUAGCUACGUUCGGGAUGGAUAACCGCUGAAAGCAUCUAAGCGGGAAGCCGGCCUCAAGAUGAGACUUCCAUGCCUUCGGGCGAGAGGCUCCCAGCCAGACUACUGGGUUGAUAGGCCGGAUGUGGAAGCGCGGUAACGCGUGAAGCUGACCGGUACUAAUAAGCCGAUGACUUGAUAAC
This 3107-nucleotide ribosomal RNA is filed under the name Microbacterium invictum. Its description in RNAcentral is "Microbacterium sp. DC-200 Bacterial large subunit ribosomal RNA". It matches the Rfam family "Bacterial large subunit ribosomal RNA". Lineage: Bacteria; Bacillati; Actinomycetota; Actinomycetes; Micrococcales; Microbacteriaceae. The record is from Rfam by way of RNAcentral.